UGUAAUACCCAGCCAUCUAGCUGGAAAAGCAGCCAGAUGUAAUACAAAAGAAGAAACACAGCCUCUUAUGGAUGCAGCACUAAUUCAUAAAUCAGGUGAAUCAUCUUAGGCAACUGCUGUGUUUUUAUGCCUCUGCUGCAUGGAGAACUGCAUGUUGGAUGCUUUUAUUUGAAGUAAUGGAGCCAGACAAUCCCUUGGACCAAGACAACUCCAAUGGUGACACUCUGUGAUGCAUCAGUAGAGCUGGGGGUGGGCCCAAAGACUGGAAAAGCAGAGGUUGCUGCUGGUCAGGACCGACAUGGAAACCUGUGAAGGACUGGAAUAGCAGGGAAUCUGGGAUACUGUAGGUGAAGACUGAGAUGUGUCUGGCAGAGCUGAGUGAGGGAUUGAGACUGGAACAGAAGGAGGUGUUGCGUUUUAAAGCUGCCGUGUAUUUGGCAGAGCAUUGGAUUUGGGGGAAGCUUACCCAGUGUCCCCCUACCCAGUGCCAGAUGUAAGCCAGCACUCCUGGCCCUUCAACUUUGUGAACGCUGAACUCACUUGCACGUUUUAGAAAAAGUAAAUGUGUUAUUGACUCCGAUGUGAUCUGCUGGAGAUGAUUGAUUUGGAGAGCUGGGGUGAGCUGCCAGUGAAGCGAGCACAUAUGAGAGCGAAAGGAGGAUGGAUUGUUCUGAUCUAAAGCAGCCCUUUUAAAGUGUGUGUGCGAGGAUGGCAGAGCAGCAGGUGGGCCCAGUCAUCUCCUUCUCAGGGGGAACUUUCUGCUGAUGGGCUUCCAAGGACAGAGCAGAGAGGAAGUGAACAGAACUGGGGAUUUCCCCCAAAAUCGCACUGUCAAGCAUCUGAGAGAAAGGCAGAAAGAAAGAGAGACCAACACACUCAUCCCCAGAACAAUACGUUUAAGCCCACACUGUUUUUUGUUCUGUAUGGUGGUGGAGGAAAGUGAUAAAGGUUGACAGCGUAAACUCCUCCUCAUCUACCAGCAAUUGAGAAUUUGCAAGCCCCAAAAUAACUUGUUUAAUUUGUAUCACUGUGAUGAACUAAACUCACUCUAGAGCAAUCCUUCCUCAGCUCUGAAUUUCCUGGCUCUGGGGAAAUUGCAUGCAGCCUCUAAAUAUUAUGUUUUUUGUGUUCUAUGUGCACUUGUCUGGAUGUGCUUGUUGUACUGUUUCCUGUAGGGGCUGCCAUCCUAGGAUGUUGCAUAGAGAAGCAACAUUAUUGUUGUUAUUGUUAUAGAACAUUUGUUUAUAGCACCCUGAAUGUGGAUGAUGGUUUUCAGAGAGAACAAAGACAUGGCCCCUGCUCUGGGGAGUAGGUAAGUUAGGUUAGAUUUAGAUAACGACACAGCGAGAAAGGCCAUUGGAUGGAGGGGAGGGGAAAGACUACACAGAAUAAGGUUGUGAGUUUGUUUUUACACAGCACACCUUCGUGUUUGGACCUUUGUUGGGUUUUUUUCUUUCUUCUAAAUAAUGAGUUAGGAGCUUGGCAUUGUCAGAGAAUGUGGGCAAAAAGGUAGAGUUAGAAGUUGGAUUUGAGGGAGGUUAUUACAUAUGCACAUGCACGUUCCAUGGGAUCUAUUAACAACGGUGCUAUGAUUGUCUAUGGGUGGCACAGUAUUCAACUUUGUUCUGUAUGAAAGCUGGUUUGUUGUUAUAGGGUUGCUUACGGGCAUUGGACUGUGUAUGCUGGUUUGUUAUGGAGGCUUGUUCACAAAUGUGAGACUGCUGGCUAAGAUUUUUUUAAAGGGGAUAAAAACACUGAAAUAUUGUUCAUGGGCAAAACCCCAUGUCCAGGACUGUAUGCUCUUUUCAAAAUGCUAUAAGAAAACAUAGUUACGAGAAAUUUGGGUCUUCUGAUCUUUCACAGUGUCCUUUGAACAUGCCUUAUAUAAUGAAAGCUUAGGGCUCAGGUUUUGUGUAGAAUGGAUAUUGGAAAGGAACAUUCUUAGGAGCUAAAUCCAUUUCUUAGAUAUUUUUAGAAGUUCAGUUCUGAGUAUUACCUACA
Long non-coding RNA from Dermochelys coriacea (leatherback sea turtle), 2001 nucleotides. RefSeq lists it as uncharacterized. NCBI's taxonomy places the organism in Eukaryota, Metazoa, Chordata, Testudines, Dermochelyidae. The transcript is spliced from 2 exons. The record is from RefSeq and is a predicted model, not a curated record.